Molecule: long non-coding RNA, 845 nt
Filed under: Callithrix jacchus (white-tufted-ear marmoset)
Lineage: Eukaryota; Metazoa; Chordata; Mammalia; Primates; Cebidae
Description: lncRNA (ENSCJAG00000084759.1)
Source: RNAcentral
CACAGGAUAAAAGAGUGAAAAAACUAACCAUAGCAUAAGAGGUUUGCCUUGAUUAUCCCUGUUCUCUCUAACAUCAUCAUUCCUGACCACUGCUUGAUUUUCCUUUGUCUAUAAAUAAGCACAUACUUGCUCUCUAUUCAAAGAAAACUGUUUUGAUCCUCUUGGCACCACUAGUUAAAGUUACUUGCUUUCAUUCUCCCGUUGGUUUUUGUAACAUUUUGCUCCUUUAUUUUCUUCCUAUUUUGACUGUUUCUUCCGUGUUGUACUUUCUAAACAUUCUACUACUCUUCUCCCAAAUAUGGGUUUAUAUUAAUGUCAAAUUAUUAGAACACAAUGGCUCACUUUUUCAAAAUGAAAAGGGUCUUGUCCUCCAGGCUGCAGUGCAAUGGGGCAAUCACAGCUCACUGCAACAUCUGCCUCCUAUGCUCAAGUGAUCCUCCUGUCUCAGUCACUUGUGUAGCUGGUACUACAGGCUGUACAAGAAACAAGGCACCAGAACCUGCCUCUGGUGAGGAGCUCGGGAAGCUUCCAAUCAUGGCGGAGGAGGAGGCGUCUUACCUGGCGACACAGGGAGCAAGAGAGAGAGGAAAGGGGUGCCACUGUCUUUUAAACAAAGAGCUAUUUUUUGAACUAAUAGAGCAAGAACUCAUUCAUUACCUUGUGGGGGCACCAAGCCAUUCAUAAGGGAUCCACCUCGAUGACCCAGACACCUCCCACUCAGCCUCACCUGCAACACUGAAGAUCAAAUUCCAGCAAAGAUUUGGAGGAGACCAAAUAUUCAAACCAUAGCCACAUGAGGGAUGUGUGUAUGAUUAUAUGCAGAUUCCAAUAAAUCAGGAUUGAAG